UCGGGUGUGGUGUAAUGGUAACAUCCAUGACUCUCAAUUUCCUCGACCUGAGGAUGAGGGUUCUCAUGUGCUCGGGGUUCGAUUCCCCGCAUCCGAG
Molecule: transfer RNA, 97 nt
Filed under: Phaeoacremonium minimum UCRPA7
Lineage: Eukaryota; Fungi; Ascomycota; Sordariomycetes; Togniniales; Togniniaceae
Rfam family: tRNA
About the family: Transfer RNA (tRNA) molecules are approximately 80 nucleotides in length.
Source: Rfam by way of RNAcentral